GAUGAACGCUGGCGGUCUGCUUAACACAUGCAAGUCGAACGGAGUACUUCGGUACUUAGUGGCGGACGGGUGAGUAACGCGUGAGGAUCUGCCCUCAGGAGGGGGACAACGACUGGAAACGGUCGCUAAUACCCCAUAUGCCGAGAGGUGAAAUGUUUUUUCGCCUGAGGAUGAGCUCGCGUCAGAUUAGCUAGUUGGUGGGGUAACGGCCUACCAAGGCGACGAUCUGUAGCUGGUCUGAGAGGAUGAUCAGCCACACUGGGACUGAGACACGGCCCAGACUCCUACGGGAGGCAGCAGUGGGGAAUUUUCCGCAAUGGGCGAAAGCCUGACGGAGCAAGACCGCGUGAGGGAUGACGGCCUAAUGGUUGUAAACCUCUUUUCUCUGGGAAGAUAAUGACGGUACCAGAGGAAUAAGCCUCGGCUAACUCCGUGCCAGCAGCCGCGGUAAUACGGAGGAGGCAAGCGUUAUCCGGAAUUAUUGGGCGUAAAGCGUCCGUAGGUGGUUAAUCAAGUCAGCUGUUAAAGAGCGGAGCUCAACUCCGUUAGAGCGGUUGAAACUGAUUGACUAGAGUUUGGUAGGGGUCGAGGGAAUUCCCAGUGUAGCGGUGAAAUGCGUAGAUAUUGGGAAGAACACCGGUGGCGAAAGCGCUCGACUGGGCCUGAACUGACACUGAGGGACGAAAGCUAGGGGAGCGAAAGGGAUUAGAUACCCCUGUAGUCCUAGCCGUAAACGAUGGAUACUAGGUGUUGCUCG
RNAcentral lists this ribosomal RNA (757 nucleotides) under uncultured cyanobacterium. RNAcentral's name for it is "bacterial SSU rRNA". It matches the Rfam family "Bacterial small subunit ribosomal RNA", at positions 28 to 829 of the family's 1533-position model. Lineage: Bacteria; Bacillati; Cyanobacteriota. The record is from RNAcentral.